GACCGCCGUGAACCUGCGGAAGGAUCAUUA
Molecule: ribosomal RNA, 30 nt
Filed under: Arthroderma gloriae
Lineage: Eukaryota; Fungi; Ascomycota; Eurotiomycetes; Onygenales; Arthrodermataceae
Description: partial 18S ribosomal RNA
Source: RNAcentral